UUUCCCAUGGCUCAGUCAGUAGAGCAUUGCGCUAGCAACACAAAGGUUGUGGGUUCAAACCCCCGGGGAAAG
This is a non-coding RNA of Danionella cerebrum, 72 nucleotides long. The record is from the annotation of a GenBank genome assembly. Lineage: Eukaryota; Metazoa; Chordata; Actinopteri; Cypriniformes; Danionidae.